CGGGUGAGUAACGCGUGGGUAACCUGCCUUGUACAGGGGGAUAACAGUUGGAAACGGCUGCUAAUACCGCAUAAGCGCACGGCAUCGCAUGAUGCAGUGUGAAAAACUCCGGUGGUAUAAGAUGGACCCGCGUUGGAUUAGCUAGUUGGUGAGGUAACGCCCACCAAGGCGACGAUCCAUAGCCGACCUGAGAGGGUGACCGGCCACAUUGGGACUGAGACACGGCCCAA
RNAcentral lists this ribosomal RNA (230 nucleotides) under uncultured bacterium. Its description in RNAcentral is "partial 16S ribosomal RNA". It matches the Rfam family "Bacterial small subunit ribosomal RNA", at positions 103 to 334 of the family's 1533-position model. The record is from RNAcentral.